AGUGGCAAACGGGUGAGUAACGCGUAGACAACCUGCCGUAAAGAUGGGGUCAACAGUCCGAAAGGACUGCUAAUACCGAAUGUUGUGGAACUUCCGCAUGGGAGCUCUACUAAAGAUGGCCUCUACUUGUAAGCUAUCGCUUUACGAUGGGUCUGCGUCUGAUUAGCUAGUUGGUGGGGUAACGGCUUACCAAGGCGACGAUCAGUAGCCGGUCUGAGAGGAUGAACGGCCACAUUGGAACUGAGACACGGUCCAGACUCCUACGGGAGGCAGCAGCGGGGAAUCUUCCGCAAUGGGCGCAAGCCUGACGGAGCAACGCCGCGUGAGUGAAGAAGGGUUUCGACUCGUAAAGCUCUGUUGUCGGGGACGAAUGUGGAGAUGGUGAAUAACCAUUUCCAAUGACGGUACCUGACGAGGAAGCCACGGCUAACUACGUGCCAGCAGCCGCGGUAAUACGUAGGUGGCGAGCGUUGUCCGGAAUUAUUGGGCGUAAAGGGAGCGCAGGCGGGAGAUCAAGUCUAUCUUAAAAGUGCGGGGCUCAACCCCGUGAGGGGAUGGAAACUGGUCUUCUUGAGUGCAGGAGAGGAAAGCGGAAUUCCUAGUGUAGCGGUGAAAUGCGUAGAUAUUAGGAGGAACACCAGUGGCGAAAGCGGCUUUCUGGACUGUAACUGACGCUGAGGCUCGAAAGCGUGGGGAGCGAACAGGAUUAGAUACCCUGGUAGUCCACGCCGUAACGAUGAAUGCUAGUGU
This 750-nucleotide ribosomal RNA is filed under the name uncultured bacterium. Its description in RNAcentral is "bacterial SSU rRNA". It matches the Rfam family "Bacterial small subunit ribosomal RNA", at positions 94 to 822 of the family's 1533-position model. The record is from RNAcentral.